AACGCACCUUGCGCUCCUUGGUAUUCCGAGGAGCAUGCCUGUUUGAGUGUCAUUAAAUUCUCAACCUCUCUAGUUUUUUGACUAGUAGAUGGCUUGGAUUUGGGAGUAAUUUUUGCAGGCUUUCACAAGUCAGCUCUCCUUAAAUGUAUUAGCCGGUGCCCUCUAACCGUCUAUUGGUGUGAUAAUUAUCUACGCCGUGGACUAUUAGACUUUGGUUGCGCUGCUUAUAAUCGUCCUCUGGACAAUAUAAUGACAUUUUGACCUCAAAUCAGGUAGGACUACCCGCUGAACUUAA
Molecule: unclassified non-coding RNA, 295 nt
Filed under: uncultured fungus
Lineage: Eukaryota; Fungi
Description: partial contains 5.8S rRNA and ITS2
Rfam family: 5.8S ribosomal RNA (bases 1-52)
Source: RNAcentral